This 478-nucleotide ribosomal RNA is filed under the name uncultured bacterium. RNAcentral's name for it is "partial 16S ribosomal RNA". It matches the Rfam family "Bacterial small subunit ribosomal RNA", at positions 28 to 523 of the family's 1533-position model. The record is from RNAcentral.
GACGAACGCCGGCGGCGUGCUUAACACAUGCAAGUCGAACGGUAAGGCCCUUCGGGGUACACGAGUGGCGAACGGGUGAGUAACACGUGGGUGAUCUGCCCUGCACUUCGGGAUAAGCCUGGGAAACUGGGUCUAAUACCGGAUAGGACCCUGGGAUGCAUGUCCUGGGGUGGAAGGCUUUUGCGGUGUGGGAUGGGCCCGCGGCCUAUCAGCUUGUUGGUGGGGUGAUGGCCUACCAAGGCGACGACGGGUAGCCGGCCUGAGAGGGUGACCGGCCACACUGGGACUGAGAUACGGCCCAGACUCCUACGGGAGGCAGCAGUGGGGAAUAUUGCACAAUGGGCGCAAGCCUGAUGCAGCGACGCCGCGUGAGGGAUGACGGCCUUCGGGUUGUAAACCUCUUUCAGCACCGACGAAGCGCAAGUGACGGUAGGUGCAGAAGAAGGACCGGCCAACUACGUGCCAGCCGCCGCAGUAA